AGACGUGACUCGGGAUGGCAGAUGCACUCUGGAGACACAAGUGAGGAAACAUCUGCCAUCAGUUACUUCUGCAGCAGACAGUACAUGUGAAAGCUGGGGUCAGAGGACAGGGUCAGUCAUGAUACAGCCCCUGAAGUUAAGUUUAUAACAUACUUGAAUAAGAGUGUACUAAUAUCUUGUUUGUGUGCAAAUGAGAAACUCUGUAUUUCUGUUAUUUCAUUUAUGUGUGUCUCCUCACCCUGUCUUGUGCUGGCUUGCGAACCCUGAAGAAGAAGACCACCAGGGACGUGGGAAGUAGCUCCCACACAAAGAGAAUGACCCCAAAUACGACAUAGCCAGCAUCUCCCAGACUGGACCUCAGGUAGAUGCUGGCAAGGGACAUCUUGGCCACCUUGUAGAGGCAGACGGAGAGAGAGAUGGCGCAGAGGACGAAGAGCGAGUCGUUAAUGGU
Long non-coding RNA from Astyanax mexicanus (Mexican tetra), 451 nucleotides. RefSeq lists it as uncharacterized. NCBI's taxonomy places the organism in Eukaryota, Metazoa, Chordata, Actinopteri, Characiformes, Acestrorhamphidae. The record is from RefSeq and is a predicted model, not a curated record. The transcript is spliced from 3 exons.